This 420-nucleotide ribosomal RNA is filed under the name uncultured bacterium. RNAcentral's name for it is "bacterial SSU rRNA". It matches the Rfam family "Bacterial small subunit ribosomal RNA", at positions 355 to 767 of the family's 1533-position model. The record is from RNAcentral.
UAGGGAAUAUUGGACAAUGGGGGCAACCCUGAUCCAGCCAUGCCGCGUGAGUGAAGAAGGCCCUCGGGUUGUAAAGCUCUUUUGUCCGGAAAGAAAAGCAUUCGGUGAAUACCCGGAUGUUCUGACGGUACCGGAAGAAUAAGCACCGGCUAACUUCGCGCCAGCAGCCGCGGUAAUACGAAGGGUGCAAGCGUUACUCGGAAUUACUGGGCGUAAAGCGUGCGUAGGUGGUUGUUUAAGUCUGAUGUGAAAGCCCUGGGCUCAACGUGGGAAUGGCAUUGGAAACUGGGCAGCUAGAGUGCGGUAGAGGGUAGUGGAAUUCCCGGUGUAGCAGUGAAAUGCGUAGAGAUCGGGAGGAACAUCUGUGGCGAAGGCGACUGCCUGGACCAGCACUGACACUGAGGCACGAAAGCGUGGGGA